Molecule: ribosomal RNA, 224 nt
Filed under: Agaricales sp.
Lineage: Eukaryota; Fungi; Basidiomycota; Agaricomycetes; Agaricales
Description: partial small subunit ribosomal RNA
Rfam family: Eukaryotic small subunit ribosomal RNA (bases 1-120)
Source: RNAcentral
UAAAUAGCCAGGCCGGCUUUCGCUGGUCGCCGGCUUCUUAGAGGGACUGUCAGCGUCUAGCUGACGGAAGUUUGAGGCAAUAACAGGUCUGUGAUGCCCUUAGAUGUUCUGGGCCGCACGGUAAGGCUAUAUCCCCCCAUUUUUUGGGACUCCACAUGCUAACUACUAUUACAGCGCGCUACACUGACAGAGCCAACGAGUUUAGUCCUUGACCGAAAGGUCUG